This 406-nucleotide ribosomal RNA is filed under the name uncultured bacterium. RNAcentral describes it as "bacterial SSU rRNA". It matches the Rfam family "Bacterial small subunit ribosomal RNA", at positions 28 to 411 of the family's 1533-position model. The record is from RNAcentral.
GAUGAACGCUGGCGGCGUGCCUAACACAUGCAAGUCGAACGGAGUUCUUAAGGAAUGCGACUUCGGUCAAAUGACUUUUGAACUUAGCGGCGGACGGGUGAGUAACACGUGGGUAACCUGCCUCAUAGUGGGGAAUAGCCUUUCGAAAGGAAGAUUAAUACCGCAUAAGAUUGUAGCUUCGCAUGAAGUAGCAAUUAAAGGAUUUAUUCGCUAUGAGAUGGACCCGCGGCGCAUUAGCUAGUUGGUGAGGUAACGGCCCGACCAAGGCGAUGAUGCGUAGCCGACCUGAGAGGGUGAUCGGCCACAUUGGGACUGAGACACGGCCCAGACUCCCUACGGGAGGCAGCAGUGGGAAUAUUGCACAAAUGGGGGAAACCCUGAUGCAGCAACGCCGCGUGAGUGAUGA